This 1239-nucleotide ribosomal RNA is filed under the name metagenome. RNAcentral's name for it is "bacterial LSU rRNA". It matches the Rfam family "Bacterial large subunit ribosomal RNA", at positions 1565 to 2815 of the family's 2925-position model. The record is from RNAcentral.
GAUGACGAGACGCUAAGGCGUUGAAGCAGUGUAUGUCAGACUUCCAAGAAAAGCUCGCAAUGUCAUAAAUAAAAAUGCCUGUACCAUAACCGACACAGGUGGGUAGGUAGAGUAUACUAAGGGGCGCGAGAUAACUCUCUCUAAGGAACUCGGCAAAAUGACUCCGUAACUUCGGGAGAAGGAGUGCCUUAUUUAUAAGGUUGCAAUAACAAGAUCCAAGCAACUGUUUAUCAAAAACACAGGUCUCCGCUAAGUCGUAAGACGAUGUAUGGGGGCUGACGCCUGCCCAGUGCCAGAAGGUUAAAGAAGUUGGUUAGUGUAUGCGAAGCUGAUGACUGAAGCCCUGGUGAACGGCGGCCGUAACAAUAACGGUCCUAAGGUAGCGAAAUUCCUUGUCGGGUAAGUUCCGACCCGCACGAAAGGCGUAAUGAUUUGGAUACUGUCUCGGAGAGAGGCUCGGUGAAAUAGACUUGUCUGUGAAGAUGCGGACUACCUGCACCAGGACAGAAAGACCCUAUGAAGCUUUACUGUAACUUGAAAUUGGAAUUGGACUUUGCUUGCGCAGUAUAGGUGGGAAGCGUUGAAGAUAUUCUUGCGGGAGUAUUGGAGCUAUCAGUGAGAUACCACUCUUGUAAUGUUAGAUUUCUAACUUUGAACCAUAAUCUGGUCAAAGAACAGUUUCAGGUGGGCAGUUUGACUGGGGCGGUCGCCUCCCAAAUGGUAACGGAGGCGUACAAAGGUUUCCUCUGAACGGAUAGAAAUCGUAUCUAGAGUGUAAAGGCAUAAGGAAGCUUGACUGUGAGACCUACAAGUCGAGCAGGGACGAAAGUCGGUCUUAGUGAUCUGACGGUACUGAGUGGAAAGGCCGUCACUCAACGGAUAAAAGUUACUCUAGGAUAACAGGCUGAUCUCCCCCAAGAGUUCACAUCGACGGGGAGGUUUGGCACCUCGAUGUCGGCUCAUCGCAUCCUGGGGCGGUAGUACGUCCCAAGGGUUGGGCUGUUCGCCCAUGAAAGCGGUACGCGAGCUGGGUUCAGAACGUCGUGAGACAGUUCGGUCCAUAUCCGGUGUAGGCGCUAGAAUAUUGAGAGGAGCCUUCUUUAGUACGAGAGGACCGAGAAGGACACACCGCUGGUGUACCAGUUAUCGUGCCAACGGUAAACGCUGGGUAGCUAUGUGUGGAGUGGAUAACCGCUGAAAGCAUCUAAGUGGGAAGCCCACCUCAAGAUGAGUAUUCUC